Molecule: ribosomal RNA, 460 nt
Filed under: uncultured bacterium
Lineage: Bacteria
Description: partial 16S ribosomal RNA
Rfam family: Bacterial small subunit ribosomal RNA
Source: RNAcentral
CCUACGGGAUGCAGCAGUGAGGAAUAUUGGUCACUGGACGAGAGUCUGAACCAGCCAAGUAGCGUGAAGGAUGACUGCCCUAUGGGUUGUAAACUUCUUUUAUAAAGGAAUAAAACGAGGCACGUGUGCCUUUUUGCAUGUACUUUAUGAAUAAGGAUCGGCUAACUCCGUGCCAGCAGCCGCGGUAAUACGGAGGAUCCGAGCGUUAUCCGGAUUUAUUGGGUUUAACGGGAGCGUAGAUGGGUUGUUAAGUCAGUUGUGAAAGUUUGCGGCUCAACCGUAAAAUUGCAAUUGAUACUGGCAGUCUUGAGUACAGUUGAGGUAGGCGGAAUUCGUGGUGUAGCGGUGAAAUGCUGAGAUAUCACGAAGAACCCCGAUUGCGAAGGCAGCAUACUAACCUGUGACUGACAUUGAUGCUCGAAAGUGUGGGUAUCAAACAGGAUUAGAUACCCGUGUAGUC